CGUGUAGGCGGUUUGUUAAGUCGAAUGUGAAAGCCCUGGGCUCAACCCGGGAAGUGCAUUGGAAACUGGCAAACUUGAGUACGGGAGAGGAAAGUGGAAUUUCGAGUGUAGGGGUGAAAUCCGUAGAUAUUCGAAGGAACACCAGUGGCGAAGGCGGCUUUCUGGACCGAUACUGACGCUGAGACGCGAAAGCGUGGGGAGCAAACA
This 207-nucleotide ribosomal RNA is filed under the name uncultured bacterium. RNAcentral's name for it is "partial 16S ribosomal RNA". It matches the Rfam family "Bacterial small subunit ribosomal RNA", at positions 568 to 774 of the family's 1533-position model. The record is from RNAcentral.